Molecule: long non-coding RNA, 1672 nt
Organism: Sceloporus undulatus (fence lizard)
Lineage: Eukaryota; Metazoa; Chordata; Lepidosauria; Squamata; Phrynosomatidae
Exons: 2
Source: RefSeq, a predicted model, not a curated record
UGAGAUGAUUCUUGAGAAUCAUCUUGGCAUGGCAUCUUGGCAUGGCAAGACAAUAUCUUGAGGAUUCUCCAACCCCUUCAAGAGAACUUGCCUCCAGACCAGGGACUCCUGGGUGCAGCAAUGGCCAGCUGACACUACUCUCACAGGGCUCCACGAGGGUGAGAGUGACAUCAGCAUGAUCAUCAGUUCAGAGGCAAGUUCCGAUCAGUGAUUUCUCUCCCCAAAUAAGGGGAGGGCUUGGAGAGUGCCUACAAGCUAUCUGACAAGCUACUGGGGACUGCCUCUUGGGAGCAAGAGGGAGGGCAGGGACAUUUCCAUCUGCUCAGCCCACUUCACACAAGUGUUCAGUUUUGUAAAAACACUGGACUUACUGGAUAAAAUAAAGCUUUGGCCAAGUGGUGUCAUCAACGCCUAGUGAUCGGAAGAGCUGCUGUGGAGAAACUCUUUGCAUGCCAGGAUCAGGCACUGUAUAAUAAAAGUGUGGCGAAGAUGCAACAGAAGAUGACUGUAUUUCAGCAAUGUGGCAGAUACUGGAGGAAUAUACAUUAAUGAAAGAAGACUUUAAGAACUUUCUUUUAAACUUUAGGUUAAACUUUGGAUUGAAGGACUGGCAAAAUGGAAGCUGAGGAUCUGGUGGAAGCAGAGGAGGGAAUGGAAAAAGCAAUGCAACCAGGCAUGGAAGAUCAAGACAGAGGAACCAGUUUAGAGUGAAGGGUUAGUUAUGGAUGGAGGUCUGAUGCUGGAUUGAGAGGAUUUUGGAGAAUCGGAGGUGGUCUGGGAAGAACCAGGGAGAAGGCUGGUGACAUUGGAGAUGGUGCAGAGUGGAAGAGAGAAGAUUUGGGGCUGUGGGGGUUUGAUUUUGCUUAGUUUCUUGGAAGAAGAGAAGAAUGAGGAAAAAAGAAAUUAGAUAAAUAGAAAUACUUUUGAUGGAGGAUUGUUCUCCCCCAGCGGUGUUAUGUAAUGUGAUGGGAGGCUCCCAGUUCAUACAAAUGCAAAGCUUUGGCAAGAAACUAAGGGUUAAGUUCAAAUGAAGAGUAAAGAAAUAAGGAAUGAUCUUCUGGAUUUAUGAGAUCAUAAUAUGGGUUUUCCUGUCUGAUGUUGAUGCUGAUUUAGUGUAAAGGGAAAAGUCAUAAUACAAAGUCUGUUGAUACUAAAAUCAUUUAAAAAUUGUUACUAAGGUCAAAUGAAUAUGAAAUUGGGAUGUGCAGAGAAACAGUCAAGGAAAUUCUUGUGACUACAAUUCCCAUUAAUUUCACUGAGAUUACUUUAAACAGGUUAUAGGACUAAAGAAUUUUUUAUUUACUUAUUUUAUUUAUUAAAAUUUAUAUCCUGCUGUAUACAGAACAAGCAUGGCAUAGUGGUUUGAGCACUGGACUAUGGCUCUGGAGACCAAGAUUCAAAUCCCUGCUCAGCCACUGAAAUAACAAUUCUGUCUUAUAUCCAAAGAUCUUACACCAGCACUCACAUCAGCCUAUUCCUGCCUAUAAAAUACUACCCUUCAAGCUAUUCUCUGUUCCACAUAAGGAAGAAUUUAUGAACUAUAUUCUGUAAGAAUUUAUCUAAGCUUUGCUGAGUGUAUAAGAAGAUUGUUUUUCAAAGUAUGAUUGGAAGCCAAAAUGCUGGUUGCAUGUAAAAGAGAAAAAUAAUAAAAAAUACAUUUCCAUCUCCCCCA